UUCCUUCCAAGAAAAGCCUCUAAGCUUCAGACAAUAGGUGACCGUACCGUAAACCAACUCAGGUGGGUGAGGAGAAAAUCCUAAGGUGAUUGAGAGAACACUGGUUAAGGAACUCGGCAAAAUGACACCGUAACUUCGGGAUAAGGUGUGCCCUCAUCAGGUGUAGCGAUUUGCACGUGAAGCCGAAGGGGGUCGCAGAGAAAUGGCGGUAGCGACUGUUUACUAAAAACACAGGACUCUGCUAAGUCGUAAGACGAUGUAUAGGGUCUGACGCCUGCCCGGUGCUGGAAGGUUAAGGGGAUUUGUUAGCGCAAGCGAAGCUUUGAACCGAAGCCCCAGUAAACGGCGGCCGUAACUAUAACGGUCCUAAGGUAGCGAAAUUCCUUGUCGGGUAAGUUCCGACCUGCACGAAUGGCGUAACGAUUUCCGCGCUGUCUCAACCAGUGGCUCAGCGAAAUUGAAUUCUCGGUGAAGAUGCCGAGUACCCGCGGUAAGACGGAAAGACCCCGUGAACCUUUACUAUAGCUUGACAGUGACAUUCGGAAUAGCUUGUGUAGGUUAGGUGGGAGACUAGGAAACCGGGACGCUAGUCUCGGUGGAGUCGUCCUUGAAAUACCACCCUGGUUGUUUUGGAUGUCUAACCUGGGCCCGUAAACCGGGUCGGGGACACUGUCUGGUGGGUAGUUUGACUGGGGCGGUCGCCUCCCAAAGAGUAACGGAGGCGCGCGAAGGUUCCCUCAGCCCGAUUGGAAACCGGGCGUAGAGUGCAAUGGCAUAAGGGAGCUUGACUGCGAGACCAACAAGUCGAGCAGGUACGAAAGUAGGUCAUAGUGAUCCGGCGGUUCUGUAUGGAAGGGCCGUCGCUCAACGGAUAAAAGGUACUCCGGGGAUAACAGGCUGAUCUCCCCCAAGAGUUCACAUCGACGGGGAGGUUUGGCACCUGAUGUCGGCUCAUCGCAUCCUGGGGCUGAAGUAGGUCCCAAGGGUUUGGCUGUUCGCCAAUUAAAGCGGUACGCGAGCUGGGUUUAAAACGUCGUGAGACAGUUUGGUCCCUAUCUACCGUGGGCGCAGGAUACUUGAGAAGAGCUGUCCUUAGUACGAGAGGACCGGGAUGGACAUACCUCUGGUGUUCCAGUUGUGCCGCCAGGCGCAGUCGCUGGGUAGCCACGUAUGGAAAGGAUAACCGCUGAAAGCAUCUAAGCGGGAAGCCUCCUUCAAGAUUAGGUAUCCCUGAGAGCAAUCCCCUGAAGGCCCGUUGUAGACCACAACGUUGAUAGGCUGGGUGUGUAAGCGCAGCAAUGUGUUUAGCUUACCAGUACUAAUCGGCCGUGAGGCUUGACCAU
RNAcentral lists this ribosomal RNA (1343 nucleotides) under metagenome. RNAcentral's name for it is "bacterial LSU rRNA". It matches the Rfam family "Bacterial large subunit ribosomal RNA", at positions 1602 to 2925 of the family's 2925-position model. The record is from RNAcentral.